CUUUCCACGUACUUAUUAAUAUUUAAAAAUACAUUAUAUAUCUUCCAGAUAAUAUCAAAGCAAACAAAAAGCUUCUUUCCUCUCUCCCUACAUAGAUCUGUGUUUCCUGAGAAUCAAAUUAGGGUUUUUGGAAUUACAGUUUUGAUUUUCCGGCAAAGUUCGUUCUUCUCGAGAUUUAUUGGUUUUCCGGUUAAUAUACCGUAAAGUUGUCUUUCAGUAGCCGUGACGACUCAUAAUCUCUCAGGACUUACAGGCUAGACUUUUAGUAUCUUCUAGAUUGUUACUACAGCUAAAAUUCUGGUAUUACAGCUAGAAGCUAAAGAUGGGGAGAAGUUUUGUGAUAGUGAUAAUCAUAUAGGCAAUAUCCUAUUGUGGAUGUGUUGGUGAAUUCCUUCCAAGAGUGAUAACUGUGCAAGGAGGUGGUUUAAUCAAGUAUUGUGGGAAAUUAAUCUACAGUUAAAUAUUUUAAUCAGUGAUAGGAGCAAGAAGAAGUUCCUCCACUAAAUAGUAGCAGCAGCAUGAUGUCAGAAGAGGACUUAUGGGCGGAUGCACCUGAUUUUGUGUUGCCUAAUACCCGUGGCAAAAGCUCAUUAAAUGUUGGGACAUUGCAUCAUUGCUUCAAACGUAAAAACGUAGACUCCAUUGACAGUGACUUCUGCCAAAAUGGCCCCAUUUUGGACAACAAGAAAGCUGCCAUUGGGGAAAACUCAUGUAGCUUUCCACUUGGUCCCAUUUCUCUGGUAAAUGAUGAUCUGAGUUGUUUUGACAACAACCGGGUGGAUAAAGACACUAAUGAUCUCUUGUAUUAUAACUGGUCUGAGAUGGGGAACUUUGAGGAUAUUGACAUGAUGUUCAGCAGUUGUGAUUCAACAUUUGGACUUGGAGCCAGCAAUGAGGAUGACGUUGGUUGGUUAUCAUCAUAUGCUAUUGAAGGAUCCGGAGAUCGAUUGAGGUCAGAUAUUCAGUGUCAGAACUCAACAUCCAGUGCAGUGGAAAAUAACGGCAGUCUUGAAGUUUCAAGAACAGAGGAAAUGGGCAGUUCAAUUAGUGAUUCUGGCAUUAAAAGUCAACCAGUUAGCUAUAAUGGUAAUUUUUGGCCCUCACAGAAAGAUGAAUUGGCCAAUCUGAGCCAUCUGUCUUUUGUGAAUGGAUCAAGUAAUUCAGAGUGCAAACUAGUACCUCAAAAGAAAAAUAAUAUAAAUAAGAAGCACGCAAAUCACCAGAACCAAUCGGAAGGAAAGAGAAAAUGUGUUUUUGUAGAAAAUGAUGAUGCCUUGCGUAAUAUUGAUGGCCUUUCAGAAGAGAGAAGACAUUCUACUGAGGCCACUGGACCUAAAGGCAAUUUGAUAUCAUCGGGUAUUCCUCAGCAAAAUGAAGCUCACGAACAUGAGACUGCUUACUUACAUAGUAGCGUUUCUUACAUGUCUGAUUACAGUUGUUCAGAUCAAAUUGUCCAUCACCCAACUUCAUCGAUUACCAAAUCUGGAAAUGAUGGUUCCAUGUCCCUUUCACUCAAGGACUGCUAUGCACCAAAUCAUCUGCAGUGUAGGCAGAGCUCUCCUGAUCCUUCUUUUCAGAUAGGUACUAUCACAACAAGUGAAAAGGAGGAGGAGAAGCUGCUUCAGCAUUCUGGAAUUAAGUUUGAAAAUAGCAGUGAUCCUGAAGGCAUUAGCACGAGAAUUCCACCAGCAUUAGGUUCCUCAAUUAUAGCAGAGAGCACUUCCAUUAGUUCUGGGUUGGAUGAAGUAGCAGAAGAAACUACUGGAUUUCAUCAGCUUCAACAUGUCACAGAACGGUUGGAUAUAAGGACAAAGCUCUGCAUAAGGGAUAGCUUGUACCGGUUGGCUCAGAGUGCUGAACAAAGGCAUAGAGAUGCUAAUGUCAUUAACUCUGGAGAUGAUAGAGAUAGAAGCCAAGCAUUGACUUGCAAAAGGACAAACAAGUGGCAAGGGUAUAUGGACAUGGAAAGAGACACCAAUUCUUUAGAUCGAUCUAUUGCACAUUUGCUCUUCCUCAGGUCUUCAGGCUCAUCUGUAACACCUGGCUCAUCUGUAACACCUGCCCCUGAUUCCUUGGCUUGAGGUCCUCUUCCACGAUAAGCUCUUCUAAUAUUAAACAACAUUCAUGUUUGACAUUCUGGUGGAUCAAACCUUAUCCUGAUAAAUCAAUGAACAGAUCCAUGGUUCUCUGAGUUGCCAGCUGGUGAUGUCUGAGAACUUGAUUUGUCGUGGAGAAAUGCAGCUAACGAGAGCAAAAAGUUGCCGAUAACUGACCUUAAAUACUUAAAAAAGCUUCAAGACCGAUGGUGGUGUCUCCAUUCAAUCAUUAUGCUGGCCCAUGUAUAGGGCCUAUCAACAACAAGUUACAAGGGAAUAAGAGUAUGACGAGCGUAUGAAUGUACAAAAAACAAUUGCCAAACAUAUCAAAGAGUGACAGCAUAGUGGAGUCGACCUAAACAGUGGUUCUACGUGGAGAAAUAAAGGGUUGAAUAUACUUGGCAACCGCGACUCAAACAAUUGUAAAUUCUACUCAAUUGAUGACUUAGAGUAUACUAUGUUGAUGCCCACACUUUUGCGCCUUAGCGCUCUCUCUCUCUCUCUCUUGAACAGUCUAGUGUUGGGAUUUUGGGGGUUAUAAUUGGCCUAUGAGAAACAUUGUUAGUGUAAAAUGAUGUUAUCAAUACGUUCACGAUAAUUUUUAUUUUUUGUUUAUAUGGCUAUGUUUUGUCAUUAUAUGAGAAAGAGAAACGGUACAUGUAAAAGAAUUUAUGUGAUAAGUAAAUUCUUUUUACCUUACAAUUGUUUUAA
Nicotiana attenuata is the source of this 2807-nucleotide RNA transcript. It is a transcript of the gene named protein LNK1-like, with no coding region annotated. The record is from RefSeq and is a predicted model, not a curated record. Lineage: Eukaryota; Viridiplantae; Streptophyta; Magnoliopsida; Solanales; Solanaceae. The transcript is spliced from 8 exons.